Molecule: long non-coding RNA, 1661 nt
Organism: Gallus gallus (chicken)
Lineage: Eukaryota; Metazoa; Chordata; Aves; Galliformes; Phasianidae
Exons: 3
Source: RefSeq, a predicted model, not a curated record
AAAGGAAAAAAAAAAACAACAUUGAUACAUUAUUCAUUAUUCAUGCCAGAGAAAGAGAGAGGCAGUGAUGGAGAAAAGAGAAGACAAGGCUUCUCCUUCAAGAGGAUGUUCCAGAUGCAGUACCCUGCAGGUGGUGAUUUGCUGAGACUCUGAAUAUAACUUCUCACACCAAAGAGUGGCAGCAUUUCCUUGUUAUCUAUUGUUUCUGGAGAUAGACCAACAAGGUGACACUCAAGCAGGAAUGGAGCACUGUCUCGAUACUGCGACGGUAACAAUAAGGAAACUGAGAAAUGAACGUGAAGAACUCAGGAUUCUCAGUAAAAACAGGAGGCAUAGGCACACCAACACAGCACAGGGAAUUUGAAUAGAGAAUACAUUUUAAGAGGGUUUUCUAUUAUUGUCAACUAAAUUUAGGAUGUUGAUCUGCUUUGCUCACAAAUAGUUAAUGAAACAGGGGCAUGCAACUUUACUUUUUACAAGAAAUUAAGAAGUAUAAGGGUUACAUAACGGAGGAAGGAAAUGAACAUCUGUGGCUUCAUGGUGCUUUUUACACAUAAGAAAAUUAUUUGGGGGAUUUGUUGCUUACAGACAUCUGCUUAGCAGUGAUGCCAGAGCCAGCCAGCCUCAUUAGCUUUGACAGAUGACCAAUACCACCUAAUAGCCUUGAUUCUGACAGACAGAUCAUUUGCUUCAGCCAUAUAAAAUCUAUCUAAAUAAUUGAUAAAAACAGACAUAUGUACAAAAUAAAAAAUUGAAACAGGCUUUUGAAUGCUGAAACUUAAACCCAUUUAGGUGUUGAAUUUGGCAUGGAACAAUGGUCACAAUUUAGACUUGCAGGAAAUAAGACCCAUGUGGCUUACCUUCCUGCUUUUGGGGCAUAAUCAGAUAAUCUUUUGCCUAUAUAGUUGGAAUGACCAAAGCAAUGACCACACAGGUGCUUGUUACUGCCUCAGUGCUGAAAAAGCAAGGAACUUCAAUAUGUAGUCAUCUUUUUUUAUAACCUGUUUGGAGUUGCCUAAUUUGUUCUGUCAUUAAGUUUUUAGUUUCAGUCUUGUAAAUGAAGUAGAUAUAUCAAGCAGUAACUAUGUUUAAUUUCUGCUAUCCACCCAUGAAUAAUAAGCUAUUCCCCAACAAUGAAAAUAUAAUGGAAGAACUAUGAAUUACAACUGAUUGUGGUUAAACUGAUUUUUAUUUCUCAGAAAUACCUUUUGAAAACACUUCAGAACUUGCACCCAUGAUUUAUUCAGUUGUGAUUCUGUUUUGCUGAUGCAUUUGCAUAUUUUCCUUCACGUUUAAUGAUUUAGUAUCAUGUUUUGUUGUUUUUUUUUUUUUCCAGUUUAAAUGAAUAACUGAAACUUGUUCAGUAUUUACAUUUCACUGCUGUAUACCUCAAAUCAUUUUACUGGUAUUCAAUCUAAUGAUGUAAUGUUAUGAGUUCUCACUUUCAUGAAUAUUAAUAGAAAUGGAAAAUGCUUCAAAUGAUCUACAAGUUUUCAAAAAUUAAAUAUUUGGAGAAAAACUCAUAAUGAAAGCAGCAUUUGCCUUGAAAUACCUACUCUUAGGAAGAAAUUGAUAAUAAUGUCAAAAAUAGACAUCAAGUGUGAGACUACAAUUUGAAUUAUACUCAUCAAUUAAAGUCCACGUCAGGUUCUAAAAGCUAA